UUUAAUUCAGAUUAUGGAAAAGUCUUAAGUUUGUAUAGCAUCCAUGCAAUUUAGUAACAAAGAAGUGAGUUUCCUUAUCAAAACAAUCUGAGUAGAAUCAGAUUGUUUUGAGACUGAAUGGAAACAUCAUCUCUAAAAAAUGUACAGGCCGGGCAUGGUGGCUUACAUCUGUAAUCCCAGCAUUUUGGGAGGCCAAGGCGGGCGGAUCACUUGAAGUUGAGAGUUUGAGACCAGCCUGACCAACAUGGAGAAACCCUGUCUCUACUAAAAAUACAAAAUUAGCUGGGCAUGGUGGUGCAUGCCUGUAAUCCCAGGUAUUUGGGAGGCUGAGGCAGGAGAAUUGCUUCAACCCGGGAGGCAGAGGUUGUGGUGAGCCGAGAUAGCGUCAUUGCACUCCAGCCUGGGCAACAAGAGUGAAACUCCAUCAAAAAAAAAAAAAAAAAAAAAUUCCAGGUUAUACUAUAUCCUGAUCUAUAUUCUUAUACCAUUUUAAAUGUUUUUCCUUUUUGGUGAGACUAAGAAUUUCAGAAAACUAGGUUUUCUUUUUUGUUCUUUUUUUUCUCCACCUUAAGUAGGGUGAUUAGAGAUUAGGUUUUCAAGUGAAAAUCUAAGGAGUUGCUUUUGCUGUUUUAAGGAAGCUUCUGCACUGGGUGCAAUGGCUCACACCUGUAAUCCUAACACUUUGGGAGCCUAGGCAGGAAGAUCAUUUGAGCUCAGUUCGAGACAAGCCUGGGCAACAUAGGGAGACCCUGUCUCUACAAAAAAUGUAAAAAUUAGCUUGGCAUAGUGGUGCACAACUGUAGUCCCAGCUACUCAGGAGGCUGAGGUGGGAGAAUUGCUUGAGCCCAGGAGGUCGAGGCUGCAGUAAGCCAUGACCACACCACUAUACUCCGGCCUGAGCAACAGCAUGAGACCCUGUGUUUAAACAAAACAAAACAAAAACAAAAACACACCAAAGUUAAAAGCUUCUCUCUGAUUUAAAAGACCAGCCCGUCGAACAUGGUGACAUGCCACCUCUACUAAAAACACACACAAAAAAAUUAGCUGGGCAUGGUGGCACUUGCAUAUAAUCCCAGCUACUCUAGAGAGGCUGAGACAGGAGAAUCGCUUGAACCCGGGAGGCGGAGGUUGCGGUGUGCCAAGAUCGUGCCACUGCACUCCAGCCUGGGCAACAGAAUGAAAAUGAAACUCCGUCUCAAAAAAAAAGAUGUAGAACUAAAUAGGCCCGCUCAUUAGAAUAUCAAGAUGGCUCCAGCUUGACUUUUCUUUCCUAACUUAUAUGUACUAGUGGCUUUAUUUUAAAUAGUUUCCUUUAAAAAUCAUCAUUUUGACUAGCUAUAUUAUGUGUUUGGUGGUAAGGGAUAAGUUGUAUCUAUACCAUGCCAAAUAUCCUAAUAAAAACUGGAAAACAU
Molecule: long non-coding RNA, 1412 nt
Organism: Mandrillus leucophaeus (drill)
Lineage: Eukaryota; Metazoa; Chordata; Mammalia; Primates; Cercopithecidae
Exons: 2
Source: RefSeq, a predicted model, not a curated record